AUACACUGUUGUUAUGGGACUGUUCGUGUAUGCUGGUUAUACACUGUUGUUAUGGGACUGUUCGUGUAUGCUGGUUAUACACUGUUGUUAUGGGACUGUUCGUGUAUGCUGGUUAUACAUUGUUGUUAUUGGACUGUUCGUGUAUGCUGGUUAUAUAUUAUUGUUCUGAUAGAUGGCAGUAUGUAAUGAGUAAUUAGUGUAAAAAGUGACCUGGUUAGGGGGGGGAACAUUUUUUUAUAACAUUUUAGACACCAUAUGUGGAUUAGUGAUUUAAUACAUCUGUUAUACGACGAAAUUCUUGGAGAUAGCUGUAAUUUUAUACAUGUAAGAAUCUUAACAGAAAAAUUAAGAUAGACGCUUAUUGUAGACUUUCACAAAAGGGGAUUAUCUCUGUAUUCUAAGUGUACUGGUAUUGUGAGCUGUGGUUUUAUCUGGCCUUGGACUCUGUGCAGUGUAGUGAACAAUAGUUAUGAAUGUUGUGACUGCAUCGGCUAGCUUCAUAUAUAUUCAUGUUAUGUAGGGAUGGUUGAUAAGUUUAACAGACACUCUGCUAUCUGUGGUAAGGGGCACUCGGCAGAAGAAACAUAGUUCAAUGUAAUAUUACAUUCUCCAGGCAAUUAAUUACUCGCUGCUUGAUAGUGAUAAGUUCUAUUUAUUUUUUUCUCUUCCAGUUUCCACUAUUCAGGUUAUUGUCAUUGUCAUAGCUGUAGUGUUAAAGCUGGGUCUUCUCACCUGCGUCAUUAGUCAUCAUAAAAUGGGAGCGCGGUCGUGGAGUGAAGGAAGGGGGCGGCCGCCUCCCCAAACAUUUCUCCAGGUACCACAACCCCAACAUCAUCGUCACCAGUUGUACCUACCAGCACCACAUCAUUCGGUGCUCUUUAGGCAGCAGGGUCUACAAGAUAAGAAACGAUUAGAGUUGGCAGCCCAACAGGAAAGACAGAUUAGACAGCAGUCAGUUCAGACAGACCUGGCACUCGAUCUUCCAGCAUCUGUAACCUUGCCCGAUGGUGAGGAACACCCAUACGGUAGCUCAAAGUUACUUCGCUUGCGGAACCCUCAGCAAGAAAGCGAGAUAUAUAGAGGCUGUAUACGCCCUCCUCCAAACAGAACAGUGCUCCAAGGGGAUGGUCUCGAAACGUAUCACUCUAAACCCGCGUGUUUCUCCUCUAAACCCUGUGCACCUGCUAGUGUCUUGCGAACUAUAGAUAGAAAUCCCCUAGUCAUACCCCGUCAGAGUGUCGGUGGUGGAAAUCACCACCAGGGUGGUGCCCUAUCUCAGGUAUUCCCGUCAUACUUUAGGAUACCAGUACCUACGUGUGGAAAAACAACAAGUCGUAGAGCCAGUUCUACAGGUGAGGCAGAAUGUCAAAGGCAGAUGACCUUUGAAGCAGUUGACUCUCCACCCAGAUAUAGUGACAUCAUUCAAAAUCAUGACCUUUGUAGAUUCUCUGGGCAGUCUGAGAGUGGUGUUUGAUCACCUACUUAUCUCUGGUGAUGAAAGUCUUUCACUUGCCUGCAGCAGCCUUGUGAUAAAAAUUUCAACUGGGACUUGCCGGUGUUACGUGAGCGAGCCUAGAGUUGGAAUGCAGAAGGUUAUCCCCUUCUUAGUGCCUCACAUUUUGUUGUUGGUUUUUCCUCGUUGCUACAGCAGCUUUCGUGUAGACCAGACACAAACGGUGGAUUUGUUUGCUUCUCCAAACACACGAUUUUCUGUCCGCGAUGCUUGCGAGUGUUGCUAUAACUUUAACCAAGAUUGACACCUGUGCCUGUAUGUUUGUGUAUAUGAACAGAAAAAGAUCCAACAAUUCAGUGUUUCAAAAUAUCAUGUUUAUAUAGUCACCAUGGACAAAAAAAAUGAAACUAUUAUACAAAUCUUUGCUGUAUUGAUUUGUUGGCGGACAUUGUACUGUACUUAGUUCUAAAGCAGAGGAGAAAGAAAACGUUGUUAAUGUAGUGAGUAAACAGACUAGUCUAAACUGUCAGUUUUUGUUAAAAGUGAUAACAUCCAAGUGAUGUGAAGAAAUCUUUCUGAAAUGAAUAUAAUAAACAGUGUUAAGAGUUGCCUGUUUAAGCCAGUAAGCCCUGUCAUUUUAUCCCUUUAUAAUGAUCACUAACAACUCAAAGGUUUGAGUGACAACAGAUUUUUCAGGGUAUAUGAUGAACUUUUAAAAAUUCCAAGAUGGAAGGAGCAUUCCUCUGGUUUUGUGGCAGAUUUGCAGUAUCUUUUGACCUCCGAGAUCAAGGAACUUUUAGGUGAAGUGUGUAAGAUGAUUGUUCAGCCAACUCGUUGACCACUACUGUUAAGAUGACCUCACAAUAGCUGAAGGUAGUUACCAUUAGAAAUGGGAAGAAUUACAGCUCAAUACAUUUUUUUUGGCUAUAACCCUUAUUAACCAGAGAAAUUCUACUGAUGUCAUGGCAUAAGAAAAAUAAAUUUCUGUUUGGAUAAAGUUUUCUGAAAGAUGUGUGGACAUGAUACGGCUCUGAAGGGGAUGUGCCUGGGUAAGGAUUUUAACAUAUACCAUUUCUAGCAGUAAUGCUGCAGACAAAUGUUUACUGUUUUACAAAGAUGAUAAGUGAAUUUUUGUCAUGUUAUUGAGAGGGGUGAAUAUGUGAUUGUAUAUAGUUUCAAUAUUUUAAUUUAUUUACUGCUUUAUAGAAAAGAUAAAAUGGAGGAAAGAAAACAAUGUGAUUUUGAGUAGGAAAAUAAUAUAAAAUUUUCUUAUUGCCAUAAAACACCCACUACAACAGUAGUUAAUUUGUAAAUUAUUUGGAUUCUUGGGAACCUCUAAAGUAUGAAAGCUUGGAUUCUUUAGUAGAGUUUGUUUUGAAACAGGUCAAAGUUCCUGGUGUCAGUGACUGCUACUUGUUUGUUUAGAAGUGCCUUCUUUUGUUACUUUGUACUUAACAUCAGAUUGUUCUAAAUAUGCCAGUUUGAAACUUCUGUAACAGAAUCCAAAUGUUGUAAAAUUAAACUUGUACCAGAGCAGUACUAACAUUCUUGACUCAGGCACUCGUUUAAAGAAUUGUGAUGUAGCAGUUAAUAGUGAAGAGAUGAGCUGGCAAAUGAUCCUAGAAGUUGUUCUUAGUGGUGUUCUAAAGUUACAUGAUUAUGGAUAUAACACAUGCUUAAGAAUGUUUUUAGGA
RNAcentral lists this unclassified non-coding RNA (3147 nucleotides) under Limulus polyphemus (Atlantic horseshoe crab). Its description in RNAcentral is "uncharacterized LOC106473339, transcript variant X1". Lineage: Eukaryota; Metazoa; Arthropoda; Merostomata; Xiphosura; Limulidae. The record is from RNAcentral.